RNAcentral lists this ribosomal RNA (1815 nucleotides) under Triticum aestivum (bread wheat). Its description in RNAcentral is "partial small subunit ribosomal RNA". The record is from RNAcentral. Lineage: Eukaryota; Viridiplantae; Streptophyta; Magnoliopsida; Poales; Poaceae.
AUGGCGGACCGGCUGACGCGGAUCGCCAUCGUCAACGACGACCGCUGCAAGCCCAAGAAGUGCCGCCAGGAGUGCAAGAAGAGCUGCCCCGUCGUCAAGACCGGGAAGUUGUGCAUUGAAGUUGGUCCGGCGUCCAAGGUUUCCUUCAUCUCUGAAGAGCUGUGCAUUGGUUGUGGUAUUUGUGUCAAGAAAUGCCCAUUUGAUGCCAUCGAGAUCAUCAACCUCCCAAAAGAUCUGGAAAAGGAUACCACCCAUCGCUAUGGGCCAAAUACAUUCAAAUUGCACAGGCUGCCUGUUCCAAGGCCUGGUCAAGUUUUGGGACUUGUUGGAACUAAUGGAAUUGGAAAGUCCACAGCGCUUAAAGUCUUAGCUGGCAAGCUGAAACCAAAUUUGGGACGAUUCAAAAAUCCACCUGAUUGGCAGGAGAUCCUUACAUACUUCCGUGGCUCUGAACUUCAGAAUUAUUUUACACGUUUAUUGGAGGAUAACCUGAAGGCAAUCAUUAAGCCUCAAUAUGUUGACCACAUUCCAAAAGCUGUCCAAGGAAAUGUGGGGCAAGUACUUGAGCUGAAAGAUGAGAGGGAUAUGAAAGCUGAGCUGUGCGUUGACCUUGAAUUGAACCAAGUUAUUGACCGAAAUGUGGGAGAUCUUUCUGGCGGUGAGCUCCAGAGAUUUGCAAUAGCAGUUGUUGCUGUGCAAAGUGCAGAAAUUUACAUGUUUGAUGAACCAUCAAGUUAUCUUGAUGUUAAGCAGAGACUGAAGGCUGCACAAGUCAUUAGGUCCUUGCUGAGAUCGAACAGCUACGUCAUUGUUGUGGAACAUGACUUGAGCGUCUUAGAUUACUUGUCCGACUUCAUUUGCUGCUUAUAUGGAAAGCCAGGAGCUUAUGGUGUAGUUACACUGCCAUUUUCAGUCCGAGAAGGUAUCAAUAUUUUCCUGGCUGGAUUUGUUCCAACUGAAAAUCUUCGGUUCCGAGAUGAAUCUCUUACAUUUAAGAUUGUGGAUACGCAAGACAACGCGGAGGAGAUUGAAACAUACCAACGAUACAAGUACCCUACCAUGAGCAAAACCCUAGCAAAUUUCAAGCUCACUGUCAUGGAAGGUGAAUUCACUGAUUCUCAGAUUGUUGUGAUGCUUGGUGAGAAUGGGACAGGGAAAACUACAUUCAUCAGAAUGCUGGCUGGGCACUUGAAGCCAGAUACCGUGGAUGGAGUUGAGAUCGAAAUUCCUGAAUUUAAUGUGUCCUACAAGCCCCAAAAGAUUAGCCCAAAAUUCCCGGGCUCAGUGAGGCAACUGCUUCAUAAGAAAAUACGCGAUUCAUAUACUCAUCCUCAGUUUAUAUCCGAUGUAAUGAAGCCACUACAAAUUGAGCAGCUCAUGGAUCAGGAGGUGCUGAAUUUAUCAGGUGGAGAACUCCAAAGGGUGGCUCUAUGUCUUUGCCUUGGACAGCCUGCAGAAAUCUACCUUAUUGAUGAGCCGAGUGCGUACCUCGAUUCGGAGCAGCGCAUUGUCGCCUCGAAGGUGAUCAAGAGGUUCAUCCUCCACGCCAAGAAGACGGCGUUCAUCGUCGAGCACGACUUCAUCAUGGCAGCCUACCUUGCGGACAAGGUGGUGGUCUACGAAGGGCGCCCCUCUGUCGAGUGCACUGCCUGCACGCCGCAGUCCCUGGUGUCUGGGAUGAACAGGUUCCUAUCGCACCUUGACAUCACGUUUCGGAGGGACCCGACCAACUACAGGCCUCGGAUCAACAAGAUGGACUCAACCAAGGACCGGGAGCAGAAGGCCGCGGGGUCCUACUACUACCUCGAUGACUGA